This 514-nucleotide ribosomal RNA is filed under the name uncultured bacterium. RNAcentral describes it as "partial 16S ribosomal RNA". It matches the Rfam family "Bacterial small subunit ribosomal RNA", at positions 28 to 523 of the family's 1533-position model. The record is from RNAcentral.
GACGAACGCUGGCGGCGUGCCUAAUACAUGCAAGUCGAGCGGACGAAUCGAAAGCUUGCUUUUGAUUCGUUAGCGGCGGACGGGUGAGUAACACGUGGGCAACCUGCCCUGUAGACGGGGAUAACACCGAGAAAUCGGUGCUAAUACCGGAUAACACGAAAUGUCGCAUGACGUUUCGUUGAAAGACGGCGCAAGCUGUCGCUACAGGAUGGGCCCGCGGCGCAUUAGCUAGUUGGUGAGGUAACGGCUCACCAAGGCGACGAUGCGUAGCCGACCUGGGAGGGUGAUCGGCCACACUGGGACUGGGACACGGACCGGACUCCUACGGGAGGCAGCAGUAGGGAAUCUUCCGCAAUGGACGAAAGUCUGACGGAGCAACGCCGCGUGAGCGAAGAAGGCCUUCGGGUCGUAAAGCUCUGUUGUUAGGGAAGAACAAGUAACGCAGUAACUGGCGUUACCGUGACGGUACCUAACGAGAAAGCCACGGCUAACUACGUGCCAGCCGCCGCCGUAA